UACGGAGGGUGCAAACGUUGCUCGGAAUUAUUGGGCGUAAAGAGCUCGUAGGCGGUUUGUCGCGUCUGCUGUGAAACCCCGAGGCUCAACCUCGGGUCUGCAGUGGGUACGGGCAGACUGGAGUGCGGUAGGGGAGAAUGGAAUUCCUGGUGUAGCGGUGGAAUGCGCAGAUAUCAGGAGGAACACCGAUGGCGAAGGCAGUUCUCUGGGCCGUAACUGACGCUGAGGAGCGAAAGCGUGGGGAGCGAACAGG
This 253-nucleotide ribosomal RNA is filed under the name uncultured bacterium. RNAcentral describes it as "partial 16S ribosomal RNA". It matches the Rfam family "Bacterial small subunit ribosomal RNA", at positions 524 to 776 of the family's 1533-position model. The record is from RNAcentral.